Molecule: non-coding RNA, 148 nt
Filed under: Chlorocebus sabaeus (green monkey)
Lineage: Eukaryota; Metazoa; Chordata; Mammalia; Primates; Cercopithecidae
Source: Rfam by way of RNAcentral
GUCGGGUGUGGUGGCGCGCACCUGUAAUCCCAGCUACUCGGGAGGGUGAGGCAGGAGAAUUGCUUGAACCUGGGAGGCUGAGAUUGCAGUGCGUCGAAAUUGAGCCACUGCACCCCAGCCUGGGUGACAGAGCAAGACUCUGUCUCCA